CCUACGGGAGGCAGCAGUGAGGAAUAUUGGUCAAUGGACGAGAGUCUGAACCAGCCAAGUAGCGUGAAGGAUGACUGCCCUCUGGGUUGUAAACUCCUUUUAUAUGGGAAUAAAAUGUUCCACGUGUGGGAUUUUGUAUGUACCAUAUGAAUAAGGAUCGGCUAACUCCGUGCCAGGAGCCGAGGUAAUACGGAGGAUCCGAGCGUUAUCCGGAUUUAUUGGGGUUAAAGGGAGCGUAGGUGGAUUUUUAAGUCAGUUGUGAAAGUUUGCGGCUCAACCGUAAAAUUGAAGUUGAAACUGGCAGUCUUGAGUACAGUAGAGGUAGGCGGAAUUCGUGGUGUAGCGGUGAAAUGCUUAGAUAUCACGAAGAACACCGAUUGCGAAGGCAGCUCACUGGACUGCAACUGACACUGAGGCUCGAAAGUGUGGGUAGCAAACAGGAUUAGAUACCCUUGUAGUC
RNAcentral lists this ribosomal RNA (460 nucleotides) under uncultured bacterium. Its description in RNAcentral is "partial 16S ribosomal RNA". It matches the Rfam family "Bacterial small subunit ribosomal RNA", at positions 338 to 795 of the family's 1533-position model. The record is from RNAcentral.